AUUGAACGCUGGCGGCACGCCAUACACAUGCAAGUCGAACGGCAGCACGGGAGCAAUCCUGGUGGCGAGUGGCGAACGGGUGAGUAAAGUAUCGGAACGUGCCCAGUCGUGGGGGAUAACGUAGCGAAAGUUACGCUAAUACCGCAUACGAUCUAUGGAUGAAAGCGGGGGAUCGCAAGACCUCGCGCGAUUGGAGCGGCCGAUAUCAGAUUAGGUAGUUGGUGGGGUAAAGGCUCACCAAGCCGACGAUCUGUAGCUGGUCUGAGAGGACGACCAGCCACACUGGGACUGAGACACGGCCCAGACUCCUACGGGAGGCAGCAGUGGGGAAUUUUGGACAAUGGGCGAAGGCCUGAUCCAGCCAUGCCGCGUGCAGGAUGAAGGCCUUCGGGUUGUAAACUGCUUUUGUACGGAACGAAAAGGUUUGGCCUAAUAAGCUGAGCUCAUGACGGUACCGUAAGAAUAAGCACCGGCUAACUACGUGCCAGCCGCCGCAGUAA
RNAcentral lists this ribosomal RNA (500 nucleotides) under uncultured bacterium. RNAcentral's name for it is "partial 16S ribosomal RNA". It matches the Rfam family "Bacterial small subunit ribosomal RNA", at positions 30 to 523 of the family's 1533-position model. The record is from RNAcentral.